CCCUUAGAUGUUCUGGGCCGCACGCGUGCUACACUGAGUAAUUCAAUGGGUAAGGGAACGCUAGAGCAUUACCUAAUCUCGAAAUUUGCUCGUGAUGGGGAUCGACGGUUGCAAUUUUCCGUCGUGAACGAGGAAUACCUUGUAGGCGCAUGUCAUCAUCAUGCGCCGAAUACGUCCCUGCCCUUUGUACACACCGCCCGUCGCUCCUACCGAUUGAGUGAUCCGGUGAGGCUCUGGGACCUGGACGGAAAGAGCGUUUCGCUUGUUCUGUUUGGGAAACUUGGUCGAACCUUAUCAUUUAGAGGAAGGAGAAGUCGUAACA
This 322-nucleotide ribosomal RNA is filed under the name uncultured eukaryote. Its description in RNAcentral is "partial 18S ribosomal RNA". It matches the Rfam family "Eukaryotic small subunit ribosomal RNA", at positions 1470 to 1796 of the family's 1831-position model. The record is from RNAcentral.